Molecule: ribosomal RNA, 2930 nt
Filed under: Bacillus cereus
Lineage: Bacteria; Bacillati; Bacillota; Bacilli; Caryophanales; Bacillaceae
Description: bacterial LSU rRNA
Rfam family: Bacterial large subunit ribosomal RNA
Source: RNAcentral
UUUGGUUAAGUUAGAAAGGGCGCACGGUGGAUGCCUUGACACUAGGAGUCGAUGAAGGACGGGACUAACGCCGAUAUGCUUCGGGGAGCUGUAAGUAAGCUUUGAUCCGAAGAUUUCCGAAUGGGGAAACCCACCAUACGUAAUGGUAUGGUAUCCUUAUCUGAAUACAUAGGGUAAGGAAGACAGACCCAGGGAACUGAAACAUCUAAGUACCUGGAGGAAGAGAAAGCAAAUGCGAUUUCCUGAGUAGCGGCGAGCGAAACGGAACAUAGCCCAAACCAAGAGGCUUGCCUCUUGGGGUUGUAGGACAUUCUAUACGGAGUUACAAAGGAACGAGGUAGACGAAGCGACCUGGAAAGGUCCGUCGUAGAGGGUAACAACCCCGUAGUCGAAACUUCGUUCUCUCUUGAAUGUAUCCUGAGUACGGCGGAACACGUGAAACUCCGUCGGAAUCUGGGAGGACCAUCUCCCAAGGCUAAAUACUCCCUAGUGAUCGAUAGUGAACCAGUACCGUGAGGGAAAGGUGAAAAGCACCCCGGAAGGGGAGUGAAAGAGAUCCUGAAACCGUGUGCCUACAAAUAGUCAGAGCCCGUUAACGGGUGAUGGCGUGCCUUUUGUAGAAUGAACCGGCGAGUUACGAUCCCGUGCGAGGUUAAGCUGAAGAGGCGGAGCCGCAGCGAAAGCGAGUCUGAAUAGGGCGUUUAGUACGUGGUCGUAGACCCGAAACCAGGUGAUCUACCCAUGUCCAGGGUGAAGUUCAGGUAACACUGAAUGGAGGCCCGAACCCACGCACGUUGAAAAGUGCGGGGAUGAGGUGUGGGUAGCGGAGAAAUUCCAAUCGAACCUGGAGAUAGCUGGUUCUCCCCGAAAUAGCUUUAGGGCUAGCCUUAAGUGUAAGAGUCUUGGAGGUAGAGCACUGAUUGGACUAGGGGUCCUCAUCGGAUUACCGAAUUCAGUCAAACUGCGAAUGCCAAUGGCUGAUCCUUAGGAGGCAGUGUUCGAGUGAUAGGAGCCGUAGUCAAAAGGGAAACAGCCCGGACCGCCAGCUAAGGAAACAAGGUGUGUAUUAAGUGGAAAAGGAUGUGGAGUUGCUUAGACAACUAGGAUGUUGGCUUAGAAGCAGCCACCAUUUAAAGAGUGCGUAAUAGCUCACUAGUCGAGUGACUCUGCGCCGAAAAUGUACCGGGGCUAAAUACACCACCGAAGCUGCGGAUUGAUACCGAAUGGUAUCAGUGGUAGGGGAGCGUUCUAAGGACAGUGAAGUCAGACCGGAAGGACUGGUGGAGUGCUUAGAAGUGAGAAUGCCGGUAUGAGUAGCGAAAGACGGGUGAGAAUCCCGUCCACCGAAUGCCUAAGGUUUCCUGAGGAAGGCUCGUCCGCUCAGGGUUAGUCAGGACCUAAGCCGAGGCCGACAGGCGUAGGCGAUGGACAACAGGUUGAUAUUCCUGUACCACCUCUUUAUCGUUUGAGCAAUGGAGGGACGCAGAAGGAUAGAAGAAGCGUGCGAUUGGUUGUGCACGUCCAAGCAGUUAGGCUGAUAAGUAGGCAAAUCCGCUUAUCGUAAAGGCUGAGCUGUGAUGGGGAAGCUCCUUAUGGAGCGAAGUCUUUGAUUCCCCGCUGCCAAGAAAAGCUUCUAGCGAGAUAAAAGGUGCCUGUACCGCAAACCGACACAGGUAGGCGAGGAGAGAAUCCUAAGGUGUGCGAGAGAACUCUGGUUAAGGAACUCGGCAAAAUGACCCCGUAACUUCGGGAGAAGGGGUGCUUUCUUAACGGAAAGCCGCAGUGAAUAGGCCCAAGCGACUGUUUAGCAAAAACACAGCUCUCUGCGAAGCCGUAAGGCGAAGUAUAGGGGGUGACACCUGCCCGGUGCUGGAAGGUUAAGGAGAGGGGUUAGCGUAAGCGAAGCUCUGAACUGAAGCCCCUGUAAACGGCGGCCGUAACUAUAACGGUCCUAAGGUAGCGAAAUUCCUUGUCGGGUAAGUUCCGACCCGCACGAAAGGUGUAACGAUUUGGGCACUGUCUCAACCAGAGACUCGGUGAAAUUAUAGUACCUGUGAAGAUGCAGGUUACCCGCGACAGGACGGAAAGACCCCGUGGAGCUUUACUGUAGCCUGAUAUUGAAUUUUGGUACAGUUUGUACAGGAUAGGCGGGAGCCUUUGAAACCGGAGCGCUAGCUUCGGUGGAGGCGCUGGUGGGAUACCGCCCUGACUGUAUUGAAAUUCUAACCUACGGGUCUUAUCGAACCGGGAGACAGUGUCAGGUGGGCAGUUUGACUGGGGCGGUCGCCUCCUAAAGUGUAACGGAGGCGCCCAAAGGUUCCCUCAGAAUGGUUGGAAAUCAUUCGUAGAGUGCAAAGGCAUAAGGGAGCUUGACUGCGAGACCUACAAGUCGAGCAGGGACGAAAGUCGGGCUUAGUGAUCCGGUGGUUCCGCAUGGAAGGGCCAUCGCUCAACGGAUAAAAGCUACCCCGGGGAUAACAGGCUUAUCUCCCCCAAGAGUCCACAUCGACGGGGAGGUUUGGCACCUCGAUGUCGGCUCAUCGCAUCCUGGGGCUGUAGUCGGUCCCAAGGGUUGGGCUGUUCGCCCAUUAAAGCGGUACGCGAGCUGGGUUCAGAACGUCGUGAGACAGUUCGGUCCCUAUCCGUCGUGGGCGUAGGAAAUUUGAGAGGAGCUGUCCUUAGUACGAGAGGACCGGGAUGGACGCACCGCUGGUGUACCAGUUGUUCUGCCAAGGGCAUAGCUGGGUAGCUAUGUGCGGAAGGGAUAAGUGCUGAAAGCAUCUAAGCAUGAAGCCCCCCUCAAGAUGAGAUUUCCCAUAGCGUAAGCUAGUAAGAUCCCUGAAAGAUGAUCAGGUUGAUAGGUUCGAGGUGGAAGCAUGGUGACAUGUGGAGCUGACGAAUACUAAUAGAUCGAGGACUUAACCAUAUAA